CAAAGAAGCUCGUCGUCAGUCUUUCCAUUUUUUUUUUUGUUUUGUUUUUUGUUUUUUUAAUCACAGUUCAU
RNAcentral lists this non-coding RNA (71 nucleotides) under Paramoeba aestuarina. The record is from RNAcentral. Lineage: Eukaryota; Discosea; Flabellinia; Dactylopodida; Paramoebidae.